AAUGAUAAAGCAAUAGAGCAGGUUAAAAAGUGGAUAAAACCUCAGGUGCAAGGAAAGGGAAUGGCAAUUAAUAUACUAGGCUUUGCAGGUGGUUUCCCUGAUUUGGGAAUACUGCGAUGGUUCAGGGGAUCUCAAGAUAAUCAUUCACAACAGCCAAUUGCAGCAUCUGGAGCCCAGAUGAAUUCAACAACACCUAGAAGUGAAGCAACAAGUGAAUUUAAUUUUGAUGCCUUCAUUGAAGAAAAUGAUAAAAUGCAG
This is a long non-coding RNA of Colossoma macropomum (tambaqui), 258 nucleotides long. RefSeq lists it as uncharacterized. The record is from RefSeq and is a predicted model, not a curated record. The transcript is spliced from 5 exons. NCBI's taxonomy places the organism in Eukaryota, Metazoa, Chordata, Actinopteri, Characiformes, Serrasalmidae.